This 206-nucleotide long non-coding RNA is filed under the name Hordeum vulgare. RNAcentral describes it as "long non-coding RNA (HVUL_LNC018444)". The record is from RNAcentral. Lineage: Eukaryota; Viridiplantae; Streptophyta; Magnoliopsida; Poales; Poaceae.
CAAUGUCUUCAUUUAAAAACUUAGGUUUGGAUUGAGCAUCACAUCGAACACUGUUUUUGUUUGCCUCGACCCACUUAACAAUAUGGUGGUUCUUGUGACUCAAUAAAGUAGAAAAUAAAACUAUCAACACACGAAGUCUCCGCAUUUCAAUGUUUUCAAGUUAAGUCUUCGUAAGACACCAAGUAUUCAAUGUAUUUAGAUAUUUU